UACGUAGGGCGCAAGCGUUAUCCGGAUUUAUUGGGCGUGAAGAGCGUGUAGGCGGUUCGGUAGGUCCGUUGUGAAAACUCGAGGCUUAACCUCGAGAUGUCGGCGGAAACCAAUCUGGCUAGAGUCCGGAAGAGGAGAGUGGAAUUCCUGGUGUAGCGGUGAAAUGCGCAGAUAUCAGGAAGAACACCCGUGGCGAAGGCGGCUCUCUGGGACGGUACUGACGCUGAGACGCGAAAGCGUGGGGAGCGAACAGG
RNAcentral lists this ribosomal RNA (254 nucleotides) under uncultured bacterium. RNAcentral describes it as "partial 16S ribosomal RNA". It matches the Rfam family "Bacterial small subunit ribosomal RNA", at positions 524 to 776 of the family's 1533-position model. The record is from RNAcentral.